CCCUUCGGGAAUUCCGAGACAGGUGCUGCAUGGCUGUCGUCAGCUCGUGCCGUGAGGUGUUGGGUUAAGUCCCGCAACGAGCGCAACCCUAUUGCCAGUUGCUACCAGGUAAUGCUGGGCACUCUGGUGAGACUGCCCCGGUUAACGGGGAGGAAGGUGGGGACGACGUCAAGUCAUCAUGGCCCUUACGCCUAGGGCUACACACGUACUACAAUGGCGCAUACAAAGGGCAGCGAUACCGCGAGGUGGAGCCAAUCCCAAAAAGUGCGUCCCAGUCCGGAUUGCAGUCUGCAACUCGACUGCAUGAAGUUGGAAUCGCUAGUAAUUCGAGAUCAGCAUGCUCGGGUGAAUGCGUUCCCGGGCCUU
This 366-nucleotide ribosomal RNA is filed under the name uncultured Desulfovibrio sp. RNAcentral describes it as "bacterial SSU rRNA". It matches the Rfam family "Bacterial small subunit ribosomal RNA", at positions 1016 to 1382 of the family's 1533-position model. Lineage: Bacteria; Pseudomonadati; Thermodesulfobacteriota; Desulfovibrionia; Desulfovibrionales; Desulfovibrionaceae. The record is from RNAcentral.